CCUACGGGUGGCAGCAGUGAGGAAUAUUGGUCAAUGGGCGUAAGUCUGAACCAGCCAAGUCGCGUGAGGGAUGAAGGUUCUAUGGAUUGUAAACCUCUUUUAUACGGGAAUAAAGUGCGGGACGUGUCCCGUUUUGUAUGUACCUUAUGAAUAAGGAUCGGCUAACUCCGUGCCAGCAGCCGCGGUAAUACGGAGGAUCCGGGCGUUAUCCGGAUUUAUUGGGUUUAAAGGGUGCGUAGGCGGCCGUUUAAGUCAGCGGUGAAAGUCUGUGGCUCAACCAUGGAAUUGCCGUUGAAACUGGGAGGCUUGAGUAUGUUUGAGGCAGGCGGAAUGCGUGGUGUAGCGGUGAAAUGCUUAGAUAUCACGCAGAACCCCGAUUGCGAAGGCAGCCUGCCAAGCCAUGACUGACGCUGAUGCACGAAAGCGUGGGGAUCAAACAGGAUUAGAUACCCUAGUAGUC
This 460-nucleotide ribosomal RNA is filed under the name uncultured bacterium. Its description in RNAcentral is "partial 16S ribosomal RNA". It matches the Rfam family "Bacterial small subunit ribosomal RNA", at positions 338 to 795 of the family's 1533-position model. The record is from RNAcentral.